RNAcentral lists this ribosomal RNA (428 nucleotides) under uncultured bacterium. Its description in RNAcentral is "bacterial SSU rRNA". It matches the Rfam family "Bacterial small subunit ribosomal RNA", at positions 355 to 775 of the family's 1533-position model. The record is from RNAcentral.
UGGGGAAUAUUGCACAAUGGGCGCAAGCCUGAUGCAGCCAUGCCGCGUGUGUGAAGAAGGCCUUCGGGUUGUAAAGCACUUUCAGCGAGGAGGAAGGUGGUGAACUUAAUACGUUCAUCAAUUGACGUUACUCGCAGAAGAAGCACCGGCUAACUCCGUGCCAGCAGCCGCGGUAAUACGGAGGGUGCAAGCGUUAAUCGGAAUUACUGGGCGUAAAGCGCACGCAGGCGGUUUGUUAAGUCAGAUGUGAAAUCCCCGGGCUCAACCUGGGAACUGCAUUUGAAGCUGGCAAGCUAGAGUCUCGUAGAGGGGGGUAGAAUUCCAGGUGUAGCGGUGAAAUGCGUAGAGAUCUGGAAGAAUACCGGUGGCGAAGGCGGCCCCCUGGACGAAGACUGACGCUCAGGUGCGAAAGCGUGGGGAGCAAACAG